This 460-nucleotide ribosomal RNA is filed under the name uncultured bacterium. RNAcentral's name for it is "partial 16S ribosomal RNA". It matches the Rfam family "Bacterial small subunit ribosomal RNA", at positions 338 to 795 of the family's 1533-position model. The record is from RNAcentral.
UCUACGGGUGGCAGCAGUGAGGAAUAUUGGUCAAUGGACUCAAGUCUGAACCAGCCAUGCCGCGUGCAGGAAGACGGCUCUAUGAGUUGUAAACUGCUUUUGUAAGAGGGUAAAGGCAGAUACGCGUAUCUGGCUGAAAGUAUCAUACGAAUAAGGAUAGGCGAACUCCGUGCCAGCAGCCGCGGGAAUACGGAGGGUUCAAGCGUUAUUCGGAUUGCUUUGGUUUAAAGGGUGCGUAGGCAGUCGGAUAAGUUAGAGGUGAAAUCCCGAGGCUCAACUUCGGAACUGCCUCUGAUACUGUUGGGCUAGAGAGUAGUUGAGGUAGGCGGAAUGUAUGGUGUAGCGGUGAAAUGCUUAGAGAUCAUACAGAACACCGAUUGCGAAGGCAGCUUACCAGGCUACUUCUGACGUUGAGGCACGAAAGCGUGGGGAGCAAACAGGAUUAGAUACCCUAGUAGUC